This 433-nucleotide unclassified non-coding RNA is filed under the name soil metagenome. RNAcentral's name for it is "partial contains 5.8S ribosomal RNA, internal transcribed spacer 2, and large subunit ribosomal RNA". The stretch from base 1 to 120 matches the Rfam family "5.8S ribosomal RNA", at positions 35 to 154 of the family's 154-position model. The record is from RNAcentral.
GAUGAAGAACGCAGCGAAAUGCGAUACGUAAUGUGAAUUGCAGAAUUCAGUGAAUCAUCGAAUCUUUGAACGCAUAUUGCGCUCUCUGGUAUUCCGGAGAGCAUGCUUGUUUGAGUAUCAGUAAACACCUCAACUUCCAUAUCUUUUUUGAAAUGGGAGUUGGACUUGAGUGAUCCCAACGCUUUUCCUCACCGAAAAGUGGCGGGUUACUUGAAAUGCAGGUGCAGCUGGACUUUUCUCUGAGCUAUAAGCAUAUCUAUUUAGUCUGCCUAAAAAACAGAAUAUUACCUUUGCUGCAGCUUACAUAAAGGAGAUUAGUUCUUGUGCUGACUGAUGCAGGAUUCACAAAGACAGGCUUCGGCCGACUUUGUAAACUCGAUCUCAAAUCAAGUAAGACUACCCGCUGAACUUAAGCAUAUCAAUAAGCGGAGGA